CGCCCAGCAUCAAAAGUAUAAGCCACCUGAGGUGUUCCUACAGAACGAUUCCAUUUUUCAACACAGCUGAUUAUCCUGUGUGAUGUAUCGUUCAUGUAGAAAAUUGGAGGACAUGUAUCCAUGCAGACAGCAUGGAACUGGUUACUAUCAGCACAUGUUAAGUGUGCAAAAGAUGCAAAAUUGCGGUUUUUUAUGGACUCUUCCAUUUGUACAAUGCGUUUUGGUACGAUCUCCUUAGCUCUAUGUUGCAAAAGCAAGCUGGUUUCAACAGUCUCACGCAUUCCUGUAGUGCUACUAGUUUCUUUCUGCCGUGAACUUACCACAGCAAUAAUAAUAACAAGAUCAUCCCAGUGCUUCUCAUCUACAACUUCAACAGCAAGGCUGUCACUUCCAUCCUCAAACUUUCCCAUGUUCCACUUUACAAAUCCACCAAACAAACUACGACAAGCACUGCCUGAACCUUGUCUUGCAAUAGCAGAAAGCUCACUAUUAUCUUCUUUAGCAUUCAUCAGCUUUGCAAGGGCAAAAACCAGACAAGCAAAACCAGCUGCUGAAGAAGCCAGUCCAGCAGCAGUAGGGAA
This 581-nucleotide unclassified non-coding RNA is filed under the name Hevea brasiliensis (rubber tree). The record is from RNAcentral. Lineage: Eukaryota; Viridiplantae; Streptophyta; Magnoliopsida; Malpighiales; Euphorbiaceae.